GAUGAACGCUGGCGGCGUGCCUAAUACAUGCAAGUCGAGCGAACAGACGAGGAGCUUGCUCCUCUGACGUUAUCGGCGGAGGGGUGAGUAACACGUGGAUAACCUACCUAUAAGACUGGGAUAACUUCGGGAAACCGGAGCUAAUACCGGAUAAUAUAUUGAACCGCAUGGUUCAAUAGUGAAAGACGGUUUUGCUGUUACUUAUAGAUGGAUCCCCGCCUCAUUAGCUAGUUGGUAAGGUAACGGCUUACCAAGGCAACGUAGAGUAGCCGACCUGAGAGGGGGAUCGACAAACUGGGAAUUGGAACACGGUCAGGAUUCCUAGGGGAGGAGCCAGAAGGAAACUUCCGCAAUGGGGGGAAGUCCUGCCGGGCAAACGCGCGUGGGUGAAGAAAGGUUUUCGGAUCUAAAGACUUUGUUAAUAAGGAAGAAGAAAGUGGGAAUGAACAGUGCACGCCUUGACGGUACCUUACCAGAAAGCCACGGCUAACUACGUG
RNAcentral lists this ribosomal RNA (497 nucleotides) under uncultured bacterium. RNAcentral describes it as "partial 16S ribosomal RNA". It matches the Rfam family "Bacterial small subunit ribosomal RNA", at positions 28 to 507 of the family's 1533-position model. The record is from RNAcentral.